Molecule: long non-coding RNA, 198 nt
Organism: Anoplopoma fimbria (sablefish)
Lineage: Eukaryota; Metazoa; Chordata; Actinopteri; Perciformes; Anoplopomatidae
Exons: 3
Source: RefSeq, a predicted model, not a curated record
CUCAGGGAAAGACUUUCUGACUGAGAGCGGGCGGCUCAACGCCGUCGGCAUGGAGCUGAGCACCUGCGAGGGUCAACUGUGCAUCAGCAUUGAAGCAAACACAGUCCGGCUGCCACCGACCAGACUGGAGGACUUUGACCUCCCUCCGUUGGUGCUCAGGAGGUUCUGCAGCGAUCCGGCCUCCGUCCUCGACCCCAC